This is a long non-coding RNA of Vidua macroura (Pin-tailed whydah), 1275 nucleotides long. RefSeq lists it as uncharacterized. The transcript has 2 exons. NCBI's taxonomy places the organism in Eukaryota, Metazoa, Chordata, Aves, Passeriformes, Viduidae. The record is from RefSeq and is a predicted model, not a curated record.
AGAACUGUAGGGGCUGAAAUUCUACGAAGACUCAGAAAUCAUGGUUAUUCCUCUCCGGAGAAUGACACCUGGGUAUAUAAGGUUGCUGCAGACUCAAGCUGCAGCAAAGAUCGUUAUCAACCCGUCAAACACAGCGCUGCAGCGGGCGGCAUUGCUCCUGGGAGUGUUUGGGAUCAGCAUAUCCAGCUACAGCACACACCAGCUAACUCAAACAAAAAGAUUCCCCUUGACCACUUAGGCUGUGGUAGGAUCUGUGACCCAAGAAAUCCAGGCUUAUGGCAAUACUGCCUGACUCCCUGCUGAUGAGUGGCUUUGCUGCCGCUGUUACCCUGUGGAGGUAAUGAGACACUUUGCAGCUGUGAUUUCUACAUGCAAAGUUAAAUAGAUGGAAGGACUGCAGACUUCAUCAAGAAAGAAAAAAAAUAACUGCUAUCAAAAGCAUUGGAUUUCCAAACAAGACAAACUUUCUGUAAAUGUUAUGGAUUUCUUUUGUUAUUCAGUGUAUACAUAGAGAUCUAAAGGUAUAAAAUACAGUUACAUUCAGAGUAGCUGUAAAGAGACCAGUGUGGCUGCUGGGCUCUGGGGGUGUCACUGCGUUGCAGCUUUUGCAGAUGACUCCAAUGCAAAGACUGUUUUUGCAAAGAAGAAGUUAGAAGCAAUAUAUUCCUCAUGACAAGGGUUAGAACAAAAGGAAUUAAUCUCCCAUAGAUUCUUUGCACUGUACAUUUGGGUAUUACAGAAUUUGUGCACUCUAGCUUUUUCUAUUGAAUCUUAAACAUUUCUUGAUGCCUUUUGAGUAGCAAUGUUUGUGUAUUGCAACACAAGCUGGUAGCCUUCUGUCACAGCAGAGAUGGCCACAGGCUACACCAGCCAUAUGGUGCUGGGAAGGCCCCAUGGCUCCAGACCAGAUAACUUCAUAGCUGGGCAGAAACUAAAAAGUAUCAGUAAAGUUCUAGAAAGUAUCGGUAAAAACACUGAGUUGGGUUCCAUUGCAGCGUUCAAUAUCUGGCUGUAUUUUUCUGCAAAGUCAACUCAUCUCAUAAUAUAUAUUCUGAUUAAAAUACAAAUAGAGUUUGACCUUUUUACCCUACUUCUCCCUUGUUUUCUUCUCAUUGGGUACAAUAGCUUAUUCAGGAAAGUUCUCUUACUAUUGGCUUGUACUUUUCCAACUGUUUCUUAUGUUUUAUGUAAACAUGGCUUUGUAGGCUCUUCUGUGCAUAUGUUAGCAUUUAACAUCCUUUGUUCUUGGUUACUAAAUACAAAUAUUAUUUUGGG